CUGCUCUGGGGCUGCCCGUCCCUCCAGAAGAGGAUACUCUGGGUAUAGUCCCUUUCGGGGCCUCAGCCUUUGAGAGGAAAUGCCGAGGCUACAUAGUGACCCGGGAAUAUGGUCACUGGACAGACCGGGCUGUGAGGGACUUGGCUCUACUCAAGGCCAAGUACCCAGCAUAGAAGGUCAGCCUUCUGUCAGACGUCUCAAGAAUUUCUCGUUCAGAGGACUCAUUCCUGCCUUACUUCUGAGACUGAGAACACACCACAUCCCACUUAGCAGACAGGGUCUGUGUACCAAGCAUUUGGGAAUAUUCCUUGGAAGUCAAACUUCUACCACUUAUUGUCUGGGUCUUCCUGCCAGGUCCUAGAAACUCUAGAGACUCCCUUCCAGAUACAGAGGGGAGGGCACUCUGAUCCAUUUGACGGGUCACUAAACUAAUAGUCUAUUGAUUUUUUUUUUUUUUUUACUUCCUAGUUGGAAAGAAGAGCCCUUCUGAAGAGGCUUUA
This 500-nucleotide long non-coding RNA is filed under the name Rattus norvegicus (Norway rat). RNAcentral's name for it is "long non-coding RNA NONRATT003224". The record is from RNAcentral. Lineage: Eukaryota; Metazoa; Chordata; Mammalia; Rodentia; Muridae.